CGAGAUGUAGCGCAGUCCGGUAGCGUACAUGUCUGGGGGACAUGGGGUCGCAGGUUCAAAUCCUGUCAUCUCGACCA
This 77-nucleotide transfer RNA is filed under the name Peptoniphilus sp. oral taxon 375. RNAcentral describes it as "tRNA-Pro". It matches the Rfam family "tRNA". From Rfam's summary of the family: Transfer RNA (tRNA) molecules are approximately 80 nucleotides in length. Their secondary structure includes four short double-helical elements and three loops (D, anti-codon, and T loops). The record is from RNAcentral. RNAcentral also lists the same sequence under 3 other names. Lineage: Bacteria; Bacillati; Bacillota; Tissierellia; Tissierellales; Peptoniphilaceae.